Molecule: ribosomal RNA, 487 nt
Filed under: uncultured bacterium
Lineage: Bacteria
Description: bacterial SSU rRNA
Rfam family: Bacterial small subunit ribosomal RNA
Source: RNAcentral
GAUGAACGCUAGCGGCAGGCCUAAUACAUGCAAGUCGAACGAUAGUAUUAAGCUUGCUUAAAUAUGAAAGUGGCGCACGGGUGCGUAACGCGUAUGAAACCUACCUUAAUCAGGGGGAUAGCCUUUCGAAAGAAAGAUUAAUACCGCAUAAUAUCACGAUGGGGCAUCCUGUUGUGAUCAAAUAUUUAUAGGAUUAAGAUGGUCAUGCGUGACAUUAGCUAGUUGGAGAGGUAAUGGCUCACCAAGGCGACGAUGUCUAGGGGAUCUGAGAGGAUGGCCCCCCACACUGGUACUGAGACACGGACCAGACUCCUACGGGAGGCAGCAGUAAGGAAUAUUGGUCAAUGGGCGGAAGCCUGAACCAGCCAUGCCGCGUGCAGGAAGACGGCCCUACGGGUUGUAAACUGCUUUUAUUCGGGAAUAAUCUUUCUACGUGUAGGGAGUUGAAUGUACUGAAAGAAUAAGGAUCGGCUAACUCCGUGCCAGC